RNAcentral lists this ribosomal RNA (449 nucleotides) under uncultured bacterium. RNAcentral's name for it is "SSU rRNA". It matches the Rfam family "Bacterial small subunit ribosomal RNA", at positions 26 to 518 of the family's 1533-position model. The record is from RNAcentral.
AGAGCGAACGCUGGCGGCAUGCUUAACACAUGCAAGUCGCACGGGCAGGGCAACCUGUCAGUGGCGGACGGGUGAGUAACGCGUAGGUAUCUAUCCUUGGGUGGGGGACAACUGUGGGAAACUACAGCUAAUACCGCAUGAUAACUGAGGUUUAAAGGCGCAAGUCGCCUGGGGAGGAGCCUGCGUACGAUUAGCUAGUUGGUGGGGUAAAGGCCUACCAAGGCGACGAUCGUUAGCUGGUCUGAGAGGAUGAUCAGCCACAUUGGGACUGAGACACGGCCCAAACUCCUACGGGAGGCAGCAGUGGGGAAUAUUGGACAAUGGGCGAAAGCCUGAUCCAGCAAUGCGCGUGUGUGAAGAAGGUCUUCGGAUUGUAAAGCACUUUCGACGGGGACGAUGAUGACGGUACCCGUAGAAGAAGCCCCGGCUAACUUCGUGCCAGCAGCCGC